ACGGGAGGCAGCAGUGGGGAAUAUUGCACAAUGGGGGAAACCCUGAUGCAGCGACGCCGCGUGAGUGAAGAAGUAUUUCGGUAUGUAAAGCUCUAUCAGCAGGGACGAAAAUGACGGUACCUGACUAAGAAGCCCCGGCUAACUACGUGCCAGCAGCCGCGGUAAUACGUAGGGGGCAAGCGUUAUCCGGAUUUACUGGGUGUAAAGGGAGCGUAGACGGUCUGGCAAGUCUGAUGUGAAAGCCCGGGGCUUAACUCCGGGACUGCAUUGGAAACUGUCGGACUAGAGUGCAGGAGAGGUAAGUGGAAUUCCUAGUGUAGCGGUGAAAUGCGUAGAUAUUAGGAGGAACACCAGUGGCGAAGGCGGCUUACUGGACUGUAACUGACGUUGAGGCUCGAAAGCGUGGGGAGCAAACAGGAUUAGAUACCCUGGUA
This 434-nucleotide ribosomal RNA is filed under the name uncultured Clostridium sp. RNAcentral's name for it is "partial 16S ribosomal RNA". It matches the Rfam family "Bacterial small subunit ribosomal RNA", at positions 341 to 792 of the family's 1533-position model. The record is from RNAcentral. RNAcentral also lists the same sequence under 2 other names. Lineage: Bacteria; Bacillati; Bacillota; Clostridia; Eubacteriales; Clostridiaceae.